This is a long non-coding RNA of Tachysurus fulvidraco (yellow catfish), 2165 nucleotides long. RefSeq lists it as uncharacterized. The transcript is spliced from 3 exons. Lineage: Eukaryota; Metazoa; Chordata; Actinopteri; Siluriformes; Bagridae. The record is from RefSeq and is a predicted model, not a curated record.
GGCGGAAUGCGAGGGCGUUGCGUAGCAACCGAUGCUGUGUUCGUGAUAAAAGUCGGUGCGUGAGGACGCGGAUUUGCCUGAUCGUGGCUUUAAAAAUCUCGAGAAGAACUUGUGCAACUAAUACUCUACAUAUUGUGUCUAGAUGGACAUGGAAUAAACAAUGUGAUACUGUAGAAUACUUUACUACUCAAGACAAUUGUCUGGCCUGAACUUUCAUGAAAAUUGAUUUCACAUACUGAAGUCAAAAUUGAAGGUAAAAAACCCCUAAAGCAAAAAACUGGUUUGGCAGCACAUCAGCACUGAAAAUUCCCAGCACUGUUAUAUUUAUUGGUUUCAGACUACAGAAAGAUAUGGGAUUUCUUCCCGAUUUCCUUUAUGUUUAAAGAUACUAUAGGUAAUGUCUUAUUCUUUAAUGAAAUGGCCGUCUUUGUGUAAGACUUACUUCCUCAUGGAUUUUUCUGUUAAUCAACAUAGGCAUUUGAUUUCGUCCUAAUUAUCACAACAAUGUAGAUUAAUAGUUGUAUAGGUUGUAAUAGUUUACCAGUUACUUUCAGGGUCAUGUCUAUGGCAUACAAUAUGGUUUCUUUGAGCCAUAGAGAAAAUGAGAACAGAAGAAUGAAAAUCACCUAAGAAAGUAAUGAUUCAUUUUUGGCUCAUGGAAUGAACAAAGCCACUUACUUUCAUCAAAACAAAAAAAUUAUAUUUGUCUGUCUUGUUUAUAAUCAGCAUCUCUUUUAGACAUUCAAAAAUAUUUGCUUUUAUUUGUGCUAAUGCUGUCUAUUGAAUAAGCUGUGAAUUCUAGGCUGUUUUUACAUUUCAUCAUCAUGGUCAGUAUUUCAUUUGAAAUCCAAUUUGUAUGUGUGCUGAUGACAUAAAAAAAUAUUGAACCACAGGCUAGUAAUUUAUUGGCUGCACACUUCACUGACAUGUUCCAUUCAUAAGAGACAGAUAUUCUAAAAUGUACUGUACUGUUGCACAAUACUGUUUCCAGUUACAGUCAGAGAGAAUAUUUUCAUCCCAACAAUCUCCCUCAACUAACAGUUUAGUGACCCAGGGACAUUCACCUUUAUCAGGCAAACAGAAAUCCCUAAUCGUUAAUCUCAGGCACAUGCCCACUUCUCGUUCUUCUCAUCUGCAGUGUUAUUUUAAGCAACCUGCAAAUCUAUUUCCCCAUUUCCUAACUACAGUAUGAGUUUUGCCCUCACACUAGCAGGAGAAACCUCUGGAUGGGAGGAAAGCAGCCCAGAGGAAAUGUGCGAUGGUUUCCGCAUGGCCUCCCAAGACAGCAGUAGCACUAAAAAGAGGAUGCAAGGAAAAUUUGUGUGCUUCCAGGAUGUGGUCAGUGGACGUCUGAGGCCAUCCUCCCCCAAAAAGCAGCUAUAAUGAUUAGUGGGACCCCCAGGAAAAAUAAAUCUUGCGGUUCCAUUGCACAAUCAGUCAAGUUGGGCCAGGGAUGCACAGCACAGUUUUAAAUUAUGCGAGACUUCCUGUAAUGCUCCUCUGAUGGAUCCUAUAGCUGAAAGGAGCAGGAAAGCAUGAGGUCAGUCUGACUAGACAAACUGAAUAUUUGUACCUGCUGAAAAUGACCUGCUCUUACAUUGUUGGAGAAAACAAUGUAUGUUGUGUAGUUCAUAACCUGAACGUUACUACUGUAUAGACAUUGUUAUUCAAUAAAAAGGCAAGUAAUAUUCUUCUACUAAUCUUGAUUCUGCAAUAAACUGAUUAGUUUACAUUUUACUUUUUUUAAACCUCUUCUUGCUUCCUAAUGCAAGUGUUCAAGAUUCCAACUUUGAAAUUCCUGUUUCAUCUGUUUGUACCUGCACCUAACAUUUUCCAGGUUUUCUAGUGUUCCUACCAGUUACUUCACACUACUAACCAAAUUAUUGUUUUACUCAUUCCUGGUAAUGACCUUUGGCCUGUUUUGGAUAUGAUGAAUGAUUUUACAUUUUAUAACCACCUCUUAAUGCUAACCAAAAAUCUUUGAAAUCCUACAAAUGUAGACCACAUGUGUGUUGACUCUGGCCUAAAAUCAUAUCUAGAACAGAAAGCGUACACCCUACAGACUGGAUAUCUUGAGUUCUAGGUGAAAGAGACUGCAUUUCUCUCUCUCUCCUGUCAAUCACAGUGACACUGUGAUACAGUCAAAGGUGUCUGUGAGUUUAUGU